CCAACGGCCCUCUUUAGGGCCACAUUUGAAAACCGAAUUCAACAUU
This is a non-coding RNA of Necator americanus (New World hookworm), 46 nucleotides long. The record is from Rfam. Lineage: Eukaryota; Metazoa; Nematoda; Chromadorea; Rhabditida; Ancylostomatidae.